GACGAACCGUGCGAACGUUGUUCGGAAUCACUGGGCUUAAAGGGCGCGUAGGCGGGCUGCCAAGUCUGUGGUGAAAUCCUCCAGCUUAACUGGAGAACGGCCGCGGAUACUGGCGGUCUCGAGGGAGAUAGGGGCAAGCGGAACUGUGCGUGGAGCGGUGAAAUGCGUUGAUAUGCACAGGAACUCCGGUGGCGAAGGCGGCUUGCUGGAUCUCUUCUGACGCUGAGGCGCGAAAGCUAGGGGAGCGAACGGG
This 253-nucleotide ribosomal RNA is filed under the name uncultured bacterium. RNAcentral describes it as "partial 16S ribosomal RNA". It matches the Rfam family "Bacterial small subunit ribosomal RNA", at positions 524 to 776 of the family's 1533-position model. The record is from RNAcentral.